RNAcentral lists this ribosomal RNA (551 nucleotides) under Arthrobacter sp. Its description in RNAcentral is "bacterial SSU rRNA". It matches the Rfam family "Bacterial small subunit ribosomal RNA", at positions 84 to 649 of the family's 1533-position model. Lineage: Bacteria; Bacillati; Actinomycetota; Actinomycetes; Micrococcales; Micrococcaceae. The record is from RNAcentral.
ACCGGUGAUUAGUGGCGAACGGGUGAGUAACACGUGAGUAACCUGCCCUUGACUCUGGGAUAAGCCUGGGAAACUGGGUCUAAUACCGGAUAUGACCUUCCAUCGCAUGGUGGUUGGUGGAAAGCUUUUGUGGUUUUGGAUGGACUCGCGGCCUAUCAGCUUGUUGGUGAGGUAAUGGCUUACCAAGGCGACGACGGGUAGCCGGCCUGAGAGGGUGACCGGCCACACUGGGACUGAGACACGGCCCAGACUCCUACGGGAGGCAGCAGUGGGGAAUAUUGCACAAUGGGCGCAAGCCUGAUGCAGCGACGCCGCGUGAGGGAUGACGGCCUUCGGGUUGUAAACCUCUUUCAGUAGGGAAGAAGCGAAAGUGACGGUACCUGCAGAAGAAGCGCCGGCUAACUACGUGCCAGCAGCCGCGGUAAUACGUAGGGCGCAAGCGUUAUCCGGAAUUAUUGGGCGUAAAGAGCUCGUAGGCGGUUUGUCGCGUCUGCCGUGAAAGUCCGGGGCUCAACUCCGGAUCUGCGGUGGGUACGGGCAGACUAGAGUGA